GACGAACGCUGGCUGCGUGCUUAACACAUGCCAGUCGAACGCUGAAGCCCCAGCUUGCUGGGGUGGAUGAGUGGCGAACGGGUGAGUAACACGUGAGUAACCUGCCCCUGACUUCGGGAUAAGCCCGGGAAACUGGGUCUAAUACCGGAUACGACUAUCGGACGCAUGUCUGGUGGUGGAAAGUUUUUUCGGUUGGGGAUGGGCUCGCGGCCUAUCAGUUUGUUGGUGAGGUAAUGGCUCACCAAGACGACGACGGGUAGCCGGCCUGAGAGGGCGACCGGCCACACUGGGACUGAGACACGGCCCAGACUCCUACGGGAGGCAGCAGUGGGGAAUAUUGCACAAUGGGGGAAACCCUGAUGCAGCGACGCAGCGUGCGGGAUGACGGCCUUCGGGUUGUAAACCGCUUUCAGCAGGGAAGAAGCCUUCGGGUGACGGUACCUGCAGAAGAAGUACCGGCUAACUACGUG
Molecule: ribosomal RNA, 470 nt
Filed under: uncultured bacterium
Lineage: Bacteria
Description: partial 16S ribosomal RNA
Rfam family: Bacterial small subunit ribosomal RNA
Source: RNAcentral